Molecule: transfer RNA, 70 nt
Filed under: Rattus norvegicus (Norway rat)
Lineage: Eukaryota; Metazoa; Chordata; Mammalia; Rodentia; Muridae
Rfam family: tRNA
About the family: Transfer RNA (tRNA) molecules are approximately 80 nucleotides in length.
Source: Rfam by way of RNAcentral
GGGGACUUAGCUCAGUGGUAGAGCGCUUGCCUAGCAAGCACAAGGCCCUGGGUUCGGUCCCCAGCUCCCA